AACAUAGCUUCUAGGGAUAUAUGCAGAUUAUGUGAAUGGAUGUUGGUUGCUGGUAUUUUUUAACUGUAAUAAGCGCAAAUGCCAGGCAGAGGAAAGAAAUUAUGAUAUGAGAGGAGAGGAGAUGAUGAUGAAAGGGUGUUUCUCCUUUUAAUGUUUAUUUAUUUUGUUUGUUUGAAAUGGUCAGAAGACUUACUCAGUAAAUUUGUUCCAUAUGUUCAGUCCUGACCAGAUCAAAUAAUUCCAAACCAAAACUGUGAUAAAGGCAAUAGAAGUAAGCAAUUAUAUAUGACAAGUUGCUCUAUUAUGGCUUUGUGUAAGCAUGAUUUGGAGUUCAGCAUUUUUUGAGAUAACAAUUAAAAAUUUCUUAUACUUUGGCAUAGUCUACUUUCCAUACACUUAUUAGUGGAUGAUGGUUAGGGGAAAGCUGAUUAUUGCAUACAUUGUAGCAAAGCUAAACAGUAGAUAUUUGGCUUGAUAUAAGUAACUAGUGAAUUCCAAUUGAUUCCCUUAUAGGUAAUGGACGGCAUGUGCCACAAAAGCCUCCUAGAGGCAACACGCGUGGUUCACCCCAGUUAGUGAUUCCCCCACCCCCACCAUACCCUCCUCCAGACACAGAUACUAUGGACCCAACUGUAUUGUACAGUGAAGCAGAUGUUACAGACUCAACCAAGCUGGUACCUAAACUUUAUUGUUGUGCAUCAUUCCCUUCACGUUCCAAGCCCGUCUGACACAGUUUUCUCCUUCCUCUGGUCUCCAUACUUCUGAAACCUGUUGCCUCUACUACCCUAGCUCUCUUUAUGUUGCCUUUUCCCUUCCAUAUGGGAAGAAGUUCAUUUUCCUCUGAAUUGGAUCUUUCUGUCUCUUUCUUCUGAACUUGCACAUGUUCAUUUAGUAUACAGAAAAGUUUUCAGCUAAAAUUCAUUCACAUAUGUGAGACUAAUUCUCUGUAGGACUAUAAAGAAAUUGUUGUAACCUGUUCAGUAUAAUGUUGAUUCAAAAUGAUGAAUUAUUUGUAAGCUUAAUAGAACUAGAAUUUAGUUUGAUUAAGAUGUUAAAGUUUUUCAUACAUGCAACUGUUUGCUGAAAACACAGUCUUUUCUGUGUAUUUUUGUUUGUUUAUUUGUUUCUCUUUUGGCUUAUAAGGCAGUACUUUUCCAAACACAUGAGAUAUUUUCUUUAUUCAUAUUGUUCUGUGCCAUUUGAAUGAACCAGCAUUUGGGUGUGCCUUAAUCAAAGCUAAAAUACAAGGUGCCUUCCAUUGGUUUCCCCACAAAUAAUAAGCAAUUUAAAGAGCAGUUCUCUACAUGUCUACCCAGAAGUAAGCUCCACUGAAUUUAAUUGGACUUAUCUACAAGUAAAAGUG
RNAcentral lists this long non-coding RNA (1363 nucleotides) under Varanus komodoensis (Komodo dragon). RNAcentral's name for it is "lncRNA (ENSVKKG00000007673.1)". The record is from RNAcentral. Lineage: Eukaryota; Metazoa; Chordata; Lepidosauria; Squamata; Varanidae.